This 522-nucleotide unclassified non-coding RNA is filed under the name Hevea brasiliensis (rubber tree). The record is from RNAcentral. Lineage: Eukaryota; Viridiplantae; Streptophyta; Magnoliopsida; Malpighiales; Euphorbiaceae.
GUUUUCUUUGAGCAUCUUCAGCGGCUAGCUGUGCAAUCUUCUUGACCCAAGAAGAAACAAUUAUGUGAAAAUCUCAUUGAGUUUGCCUCAUCUAUCCUGCCAGCCUCUUGUCGGAAGUUCAUAAUUUUCUUCCCAUCAUCCGUAAGAUGAGAGGUCAAUCCCAGAUAUUAUAUGGAAAACUAAGACUACAUAUGACAUUCUUUCAGGUAUGUGGAGGUACUUUUGCUUCCUAAGAAAAUAAACGGUAACUCGACUCAUUGUUCUCUAUGGUUAUAAUAUUAGAAGGGGGGGUAUGUUUUAAGUCAAAUGGCGUGUGUUUGCUCCCUCGGGCUGUUGAACGAGAAGAUAGUUUAUGUCGGCGACUUCCUUUUUUUUGUUAGUUAUUACCAGGCAAAGAGUUUGUGUCAUCUGUUGCGUUGAAUUCAUAGUUGUAGUUUAUUGGAUUAUGGCUUGUAGAAUAGGAAGUUUUUGAAACCAUUUGCUUUAUUUUGGAUUUCUUUCAUAAUUUAAGGUAUAUCUCAU